GUUUCAAUUUGCUGCGGGCAGAUGUAGUGAAUGUGCGUAUCAAUUCCUCCGGCAGUUACGAUAUAUCCUUUUCCACCAUGCACUUCAGUAGAGGCACCAAUAAUCAUGUUUGGAGAUACUCCGUCCAUGGUAUCAGGGUUACCAGCUUUACCGAUUCCUACGAUUUUACCGUCUUUAAUUCCGAUAUCACCUUUUACGAUUCCCCAGUGAUCGAUGAUUACUGCUCCGGUGAUACAAAGGUCAAGAACGCCUUCAUCUCUUUUGGCAGUAACAUUUUGUCCCAUCCCGUCACGAAC
Molecule: non-coding RNA, 296 nt
Organism: Chryseobacterium indologenes NBRC 14944
Lineage: Bacteria; Pseudomonadati; Bacteroidota; Flavobacteriia; Flavobacteriales; Weeksellaceae
Source: Rfam